Non-coding RNA from Nerophis lumbriciformis (worm pipefish), 86 nucleotides. The record is from the annotation of a RefSeq genome assembly. NCBI's taxonomy places the organism in Eukaryota, Metazoa, Chordata, Actinopteri, Syngnathiformes, Syngnathidae.
GUUGUUGUGGCCGAGUGGUUAAGGCGAUGGAUUCAAAAUCCAUUAGGGGCUCCUCUCGCAGGUUCGAAUCCUGUCGACAAAGGACA